Molecule: long non-coding RNA, 2730 nt
Filed under: Lathyrus oleraceus (garden pea)
Lineage: Eukaryota; Viridiplantae; Streptophyta; Magnoliopsida; Fabales; Fabaceae
Description: Pisum sativum (pea) long non-coding RNA (PSAT_LNC008986)
Source: RNAcentral
UUACAAGUACUACGUGUAAAAACUAUAUAACAAUAUAAUUAGAGCAUUAAAUUUUAAAUCAUAAAGUGAAAAUAUGAUUAAAAUUGUCAUGUUUGUUCAUGUUAUCACUUUCAUUCUUUAUCUAUUUCUUGUCAAUUUGAACGUUAACGGUAAGUUUUUUUUUUCUCAAAAUUUCUUUCUUACAUAAUGUUUUAUCUUAUGUUAGCAAUAUUUAGUUUUAUUCUCUUUUUUCAUUAUAGCUGGGCGUCGUAAAUGUUUUAGUGAUGAUGAUUGUCCAACAAAAGAUUGCGGCACUCCUUUGUUACCUGUGUGUUUUUUAAGAAUAUGUAUUUGUAUUUGAGUGACUUCACAUAUAUGAUAUGAUGAUCAAAUCCUAUAACAUUAAAUGAGUUCUUCUUAGUUAUGGUAUUGACAUCUUAUAGUUUGAUUCUCAUUUAGUUAUUUUUUCAAAUCUCAAGGGCUAUUGUUAUGGUUUUAAAAUAGAAUAAAAAAUAUUAUAUAGACUAUCUUCUUCUUGUUAUAAGAAAUUAGAAAACCUUAAAUUAUUCUAGAAUAUAUUAAACAUGUUUUAUUAUUAUUUUGAAUUUUUUUUCAAAAAUAUAAAAUUAAUUAGUAAUGUGAAUUAUCUAUCAAAAUGUUAAUUUAUAAUAAUAAUGUUUUAUUUACCAUAUCAAUUUAGAAUAAUAACAUAAAAAAAUACAUUCAUGUGAUAAUAGUAAUUCUAUUAGUUUAAAUACUCCAUUUGGUCAGGUAAAUAUACUUCAUUUCGAAAAAUAUAAGGGAUAUCAUCCUAUUUUCUUAUCUCUUGAUUUCCUUAGUUUUAUAUAUUAUAACAUUAUAUAUAGUAUGUAGUAUUAUAUAAUUAGACUACUAAUUUAUAUCAUCCUUUCAGUUCACAAAAUAUCAUAAAAUAAAUAUUUAAGUACUCGAUCUUUUCAUUAUGUUGUUAGUAUGAUUGUUUCCAUCGGAUGUGCUUACUACUGCUAGAUUAUAUAUCCUUAUCACUUUUAUUAUUAUUAUUAUUAUUAUUAUUAUUAUUAUUAUUAUUAUUAUUAUUAUUAUUAUUAUUAUUAUUUGUCUUANGGAUGUGCUUACUACUGCUAGAUUAUAUAUCCUUAUCACUUUUAUUAUUAUUAUUAUUAUUAUUAUUAUUAUUAUUAUUAUUAUUAUUAUUAUUAUUAUUAUUAUUAUUUGUCUUAGGUAGGAUGUGAUUGUAUGAGAAUUAUUUGCAACCACGAUCCAGAUCCAAUAUCUAUUGUAGAAAAUGGGAAAGCGCACUACCUAUAACCAUAGUAAAAUGUAUAAAGGUUCUAAUAUCUAUUGUCAUACCCUAAUUUUUCCUUUUCCUUUGAUCAAUAAAUCAAUACAUUUAUCAUGACAUUUGCAUCAUCUACAUAUCAUAGUAUAUUUUUCUUUCCGCAUAAUGCUUAAAAAGUCGACUAGAAUAAAAUAUUCGAUUUUACCGAAAUAUCAGUUGAAUCAAGUUUCAAAUGUGCGUAAACUUGAUGGACAAAUAAUUUUGAGAUCGAACCUGCCACUAUUAGUUAUAUCGAUCUCACUAGUGCAAAGUGACAAAUAUAAUUUUAACUUUUACUUCCAUUAUACAGAAAACAAAAACAUGUGUAAAUAAGAAACAAAGAUUAAUAAAUAAAAUACCAUUUUAAGUAUUAGCACAUGACAAUAGACAUCUUAUUUUUAAUAAAAGGGUGUAAAUUAAAAUUAUUAUUAUAAUCAAAUUUCUAUUACACCCGUUAAAGAUAAAACGAAUGUAAGUUUAGAUUGAUUAAAAAAAUUAUUUAUUUUUAUAGUUUUAAAUAUUAAUCUGAACAAAUUAACAAACCACAAUAUUUUUUAUUAAGGGUUAAUUGAGUAAGUAAGUAAAUUAAUGCGUUUAAAUUUAUUAAGUUAAUAUUAUGUAAAUAAAAUAAUAAAAAACCCAUUUUUCUGAAACCCGAAAAGCUUCAUCGCCCAUCCUUCCUCUCCCAAUUUCCAUCGACCAAAACACGAUCAUGAAUAAAUAAAGAGUAUCUCUUACGCAUCUUAUACUUGUAAUGAGUGUAAAUGUAAAACUAACAGUCUUUUAAACAUGUGGCAUGAGAAAAACAAUAGCAAUUGUGACAGCCUUUUAAAGACCAACAGUGGCAACAAUAACUGAAAGAAAGCAACCUAUUUUUCUUGCCUACACAAAAUAUUUAGUUUUGAAAUUAAUAAAACAACGUAAGAAAAUACAAGAUGAAUGAGGGUGUUGAUAUAUAGGACAUACAUAUGAAAAAAUAAACAAAAGGGAUUUUAAAAAAUAUUAGAGAUAAGGAUAGGAAUAAUAUUAUAGGAUACUAUGUAAAAUGAAUUCAUAGUAGAACAAGUGAAAGUGACCAUGAUAUUGGCCCAUUUGUUGUGAAUAUGGAAGUAGCAGAGGAACACAGCCAUCAUUUGAGGACUAAAUAAGAAUUAGGAAUCAAGAGGAUUGAAGAGUAGGAGACAAUUCAGUCAUGUUUGUAAUGAGCUAAGUGUAAGAUCAUGUUUGUGAAUAAUUACUGCUUUGCUAUAACUUUCAAUUUCAAUAUUAUUUAACUUUUGUUUCUAGCUUUUCAUUGAGUUUUUCCAAUCUUUAUCCAAUUUUGGCAACCUUGAGUUAAUUCUCUGUUGUUAGUAUCUGAUUUGUUAAAUAUUGUUUUUGGUUUUGAUCAUAUUCAAACUUGAUGUUAGUGGCAUCAUCAUGUGUUUUUGAAG